This 433-nucleotide ribosomal RNA is filed under the name uncultured bacterium. RNAcentral's name for it is "partial 16S ribosomal RNA". It matches the Rfam family "Bacterial small subunit ribosomal RNA", at positions 29 to 507 of the family's 1533-position model. The record is from RNAcentral.
AACGAACGCUGGCGGCAUGCCUAACACAUGCAAGUCGAACGAGACCUUCGGGUCUAGUGGCGCACGGGUGCGUAACGCGUGGGAACCUGCCCUUAGGUUCGGAAUAACUCCCCGAAAGGGGUGCUAAUACCGGAUAAUGUCUUCGGACCAAAGAUUUAUCGCCUUUGGAUGGGCCCGCGUUGGAUUAGCUAGUUGGUAGGGUAAAAGCCUACCAAGGCGACGAUCCAUAGCUGGUCUGAGAGGAAGAUCAGCCACACUGGGACUGAGACACGGCCCAGACUCCUGCGGGAGGCAGCAGAGGGGAAUAUUGGAAAAUGGGGGAAAGCCUGAUCCAGCUAUGCCGCGUGAGUGAUGAAGGCCUUAGGGUUGUAAAGCUCUUUUACCCGGGAUGAUAAUGACAGUACCGGGAGAAUAAGCUCCGGCUAACUCCGUG